This is a non-coding RNA of Lupinus albus (white lupine), 150 nucleotides long. NCBI's taxonomy places the organism in Eukaryota, Viridiplantae, Streptophyta, Magnoliopsida, Fabales, Fabaceae. The record is from the annotation of a GenBank genome assembly.
AUAUUUACUUGGACGGGACUAAUGGGUGUUCAAGAAGGCUCGUGGAUUAAGAAAGUGAACUUCAUUGCACUUAGGAGAGGUGUUCUGCUAAGGUCUACCUAAGUGGUGGAGCUCAUGUCAUAAUUUGUAACCAUAAGACAUGAAUACUUG